Molecule: small nuclear RNA, 156 nt
Organism: Sorex fumeus (smoky shrew)
Lineage: Eukaryota; Metazoa; Chordata; Mammalia; Eulipotyphla; Soricidae
Product: U1 spliceosomal RNA
Exons: 1
Source: RefSeq, a predicted model, not a curated record
AUUUCUACCUGGCAGGGGAGAUACCAUGAUCACGAAGGCGGUUUUCCCAGGUUGAGGCUUAUCCAUUGCACUCUGGAUGUGCUGACCCCUGCGAUUUCCCCAAAACUUGACUGCAUAAUUUGUGGUUGUGGGGGACUGCGUUCGCACUCUCCCCUG